Oenanthe melanoleuca is the source of this 1787-nucleotide long non-coding RNA. RefSeq lists it as uncharacterized. The record is from RefSeq and is a predicted model, not a curated record. The transcript is spliced from 3 exons. Lineage: Eukaryota; Metazoa; Chordata; Aves; Passeriformes; Muscicapidae.
CUGGCACACAUGUCACUGGGAGUGGCGUGAGAGGAGCAUAUGGUAUUGCUGCAACUGAGGAGGGAUUCCUUGGAAGUAUGAGUGCUGGAGAUUUUACGUCACCUGGAAGCUUUUUGUUCCUGACAAUUUUUAUUUUUGCUUUACUGAAAUGGACAUGUCUGUCCAUAAGCAGGCACCUUGCCACUGUGACAGAUGGGCAGUAAUCUUCAGGUGGACCAUCACAUUUGGCAGAUGCAUUAACACUAUGCCAUGAAGAAAUUUUUCCAAAUGGGUAGAUCUCACACUAUUCAGAUCAGAGUUUAUGCUGUUAAAUAUCACCUAGAAUCCAACAGACUAUUUAUUAAGGUCAAAGAGUGUCAGUAACCACACAUUCUCAGGAGGCAAUGAGUGAAAAUCAAACCCAUUGUCAACUUUUCAAGUCUGGAAGGGGAAAUCUCAUUACGAUCACACUGCAGUACGAUAAGCUUUCCCUUCCUGGAAAUCACCAGCUUCACGGCAAACAUCUGGAUGAUGACCAGCAAAGCCACUUUAGCCACUGCUGUUUCCAGCCCAUCACAGCAGCAGUAUAAAAUUCAGCCUACAUUCAACUCCUAUUCCUCUUGUGAGCUGCAGUGAUCACCCGUUGAAGCAGCUGCACUUGUCUUAAAAUCCCUACCUGCACCAGAUGGAGGAUGGCUGAGCAGAUAAAGGAGGAUGAAGCAGGGUUCCUGUGGAACAACAGUUCACAACAACACCGAGUUUAGCUGUCAGAAAGUCACACAAAUUCUAUGAAAUAUCUGGAAAGAUGAAAUGGAAGGCUGCCAAGACAUAACCUGUCUAGGGCCUGGAGAAUUAAAAUGAUUUGUUUUUACGAACCUGCACAGCCACUACACAGGUUUUUGUGAAUUUCACCAAAACUGGAAAUAAAUUAUUUUUUCAUUACCCUUACCCAUGUGAAACCUUCUGUAUCAUGGGAAAUGCUCUUUGAGAAUGUGGCACUGAUGAAACCUGUAUUAAAAAUGUGCUUUAUGUCAAAUGGAAGGGAGAGCAAAAAAGAAUGAAAUACCGAUUGUAAAGAAAGCAGAUGUCAUUUGAUGUGAUCUUGUUCAAAGUUGUAGUUGCUUCACCCCUGUACAAAGUUUUAGCAGAGGCCUUCAGGAUUAAUACAAUCCCAAAUCCUGGGAUAUUUUUAUUGUCUUAAUAAUCUUCUUUCUGAGUGAUUGUUGAGACCCUCAGAAUACAUAAACCAGAAUAUUUGUACUCCGUUUAUGCCUGCUGUAUAGCUAUCUAAUUACUAUUUUUUAUUUUAAUUUAUUUUAUAUUUGACUGUAAGUAAAAAUUGACUAAUACCAAUGCUGCUGUGUUGAUACUGUGUUUGAUUUUGCUGUCUUUGUUUUGAUUUGGUUUUGGGGUUUUUCAAAAAUGCUUGCUGUUUCAAGCAUCAUGUUUCAGUCUGCAUCCCAGUAAUAAGCCCACAGCAAAUCCACACUGUAGUUUUGUGUUCAGUGUACUAGAAACAAAAGUCAGGAGCAUAGAUGUGUCCUUUAUUAUGUGUACAUUUCUUUGAGACAAUUUAAGGGGAUAUUUAGAUAUUUGCCUGCAAACCAGCCCCUGCAGUAUUCUAAGAUAGGUCCAUGUUUUGGAUUGCAAUACAAGAUGUGGCCAGAAAUGUAUAUUCUAUCACCCUCUGUUGAAGCUGGGUGGGGCAGGGACCCUUAUUUCUGUGGAACAUAUUAUCUGCCAAUGGGCCAUCUUUAAAACCAGGUGGGACAAUCAUCUUUAUCUUUUCCACAACCCAUCCUCCCUCC